Molecule: ribosomal RNA, 468 nt
Filed under: uncultured bacterium
Lineage: Bacteria
Description: partial 16S ribosomal RNA
Rfam family: Bacterial small subunit ribosomal RNA
Source: RNAcentral
GACGAACGCUGGCGGCGUGCUUAACACAUGCAAGUCGAACGGUGAAGCUCCAGCUUGCUGGAGUGGAUCAGUGGCGAACGGGUGAGUAACACGUGAGCAACCUGCCCCAGACUCUGGAAUAAGCGCUGGAAACGGCUUCUAAUACUGGAUACGAGAUCAAGCCGCAUGGUUAUGGUCUGGAAAGUUUUUCGGUUUGGGAUGGGCUCGCGGGCUAUCAGCUUGUUGGUGAGGUAAUGGCUCACCCAGGCGACGACUGGUAGCCGGCCUGAGAGGGCGAACGGCCACACUGGGACUGAGACACGGCCCAGACGCCUACGGGAGGCAGCAGUGGGGAAUAUUGCACAAUGGGGGAAAGCCUGAUGCAGCGACGCCGCGUGAGGGAUGACGGCCUUCGGGUUGUAAACCUCUUUCAGCAGGGAAGAAGCGAAAGUGACGGUACCUGCAGAAGAAGCACCGGCUAACUACGUG